AGUCUCACAACCAGCUCUCUGGAGAACAAACAACCAACCCUGAUUCGUGGAGUUUGCCAAUUUCCAUGAUGUAAAUACUCCGACCGUGGGUGAUUUCAAACUACCUUCCUGAUGUCACCGAAGGUGGAGCUGGGAAGAGAUGGGCAGUAGGUGGUGAUGUGCAGGGGGUGGUGUCCACGCCAUCCUAUGGUGUUUCCCCCACACGGACACAAUAGACGCAGACAACCUCGAGCGCCGAUGAUGGCAAAGUGAAGUGAAUUGAUAGGAAUUGAUGAGUUCGGAGUAUUUGUUACUUUUAAUUUUAAGGCCAUUUAUUGAAUGGUAAGUUUGUAUAACUUUAUUUUUAACAGUGACUGCUUUUAACAAGCAGCUCACAAAAUUAAUUCCUGAAAAUUUCACAAGCACCUCUUGAGAGCCAGUAUGAACUGAUUGCAGCACACCACUGCCCGAACCCCGUGAUGUAGACGCUGUUGUCAGGGAGGUGAAGCGAGGCCACUCAGCUGGUCAAUGGGACAGCUGGAGAUUCUUGAGCAAGUAACUUCCUGUCUCUGAGCCUCAGUUUCCUCAUCUGUAAAAUGGGGACAAUAAAACGGGGUGCUGCGGAGGUUUAAUGAGCUAAUGCUUGUAAAGCACCUGGCGUUCAGGACAUGCUUGACAAGUGGGAACCAGUAGUGUGUUAAACUUCUUUUUAUGAUAAUAAUGAACAUGGAUCCUGCCCUCAAGGUCUUCAUGGCCUAGUGGAGGGAGGGGGCCAAUGAUAAGACAUAUACACAGUCACAGGAAUCUGAUCCAGGCAGAAAAGGAAGGCUUCCUGGAGGAGGCUGCAUUUGAACUGGGCCUGGCAGGUAAGGGAGAAGCGGGGUCCCUAGGGGUUAGGAGGAGGCAUUCCUGGCUGACGGUCCACAACAAGCAGAGGAGGGACCCAGGAGGCGUGAAGAUGAGAGUGAGAGAUGAGGCUCGAGGCAACAGGAAGAACGUCGGAAGCCAAGACGGAGUCUGAACUCUCCUCUGAGGGCAGUGGGGAGCCACAGCAGUUGUUCAGCAGGGCCUGAUGCCAUCAGACUGGCCUCUUGGAACGUCAGUGACCGCAGUAGGGAGAAGGGCUGGGAGGGGGCAGGAGUGGAGGUGGCAUUGGCCAUGGAGCCGGGGGUAUGGAAGCCCACCCAUCUGGGCUCCUUCACUGUGCCUGGGUGUGGCUAGAGUGUCCAAAGACACAGGCCCCCUUGACCCCUCCUCUCCUGUAGCCACUGGGGGCGCGGCACAGUGGAGUCCCCGCCCCAGCCCUGCCCAAGCCCAGGUCCAGCUCCAGCCCCCGCAGCUAAUCCUAGUGUCACUGGGUCCCGAGGCCGGGGCGGGGCAGCCUGGCAGCUGGCCUCAAUUAGGUGGGGAGCCUGGUCUGGACAGUGUCAUUAGGAGAAAACCAGAGCCCGGCCAUAAACUCUAAUGAAUGCAUUAAUGGAAGGCUUGUGCGCCUCAAAGGGAAAAAAAAAAGCAGGUCUAAAUAAAGUUAUUAACACAGCCCACCUGUGUUCGGCUCUUGGCCUAUAUUGUUCAAAUAGCCCAUUAACUCCUGAAGCAUCCAGUCUUGAAAGCGAGGCCUGCCUCUCUGAAGCCGACGUUUAACUGCGUUCAUAUAAUUCAAUUAGAUUCCGCAGUCCUGGGCCAAAGGCAUUCUCCCGGCUUUCAUCUCGGUGCUUCACGAUAUUGCGUGGGCUUCUAAUAAACGUCCAGUAAACCGCAGGUAGCGCCUCGGAGAGAGAUGGGCCUGUGCACCUGUCCACAAAGGGCCUCCACAUGCUGCAGCUCCGCCUUCCGUGGCCCAGCCCUGGCACGGUCGGCUCCGGAGACGAUCCUGCCCCUCGGGACGCCUGCAGGGCCACAGCAGUUGGGGCCACGGCUUAUCCAUCAUUGCAAAGAUCUCUCCGAGAGAAAUGAAACAAGUCAGCUCUGCCCAGAGGGGGAGAAAGCUGAACGGCGCAUGGGGCCGCCCGUCCCAGGACCUUCUUGGCUUGGCUCCUGUGGAAGGGCGUGGGCUCCUUCGUCUGAAAACUGCCAAGGGAAUGCAGCCACACGGCUUAAGAGAAAUGGCGCAUCCCUGUGGUUUGGUGUCCAAGUGGACCAUUCAGGACGCUCAACUCAGAUUCCUUCCCAAACUUUGUCCAGCUCCAAGACCAACAGGGGGCUUCCACUGCAGAGGUCCAGACACCUGCACAGAUGUGUCCCUGCUGGGGGGAGGGGGUGGUGGUGAAGGUGGAAACACCGUUUCUAAGCAGCUCCUUAGAAGUGAACAAAUUCUGGUACCUCCGCGUUGUCUCGGGAACCUGCCUCUUUCCUGCCGUCUGUGCUCCCAUCCUCCCAGUGGGGGGGCUGUGGAUUCUCCAACAGGCCCAGGUAGAAUUCUGAGGUCAUCGGAGUCCCUCCUUCAAGCCUCAGUUCUAUCAGUAUCAAACUUCUGGGGAGACUUCAGGGGAAGCAGCAAGUUUGAGCCAAGAACGCAGAAUUGGAAUUCUCUGAUAAAUCCCUCCCAGCUGAGCCGGGAGGGUCUGUAGUUGGCUCAGCAAGCAGGGACGGCAGGAAGGGGCUGGUGCUGGGAAACUUCAAACAGACCUGGGGUGGCGGGGAGGCUGUGCUGAGGGAGGAGGCCACCGACAGAGGGCUCAGUUAAUUAAAGAGAUGCGUGGGCACACCUAUAGGCUCAGCCCUCUUGGUGUUAAAGCGCCAGCAACUCAAGUUCUGUGCAGGGACUCCCUCCCCCAGGGGGAGGCCUGGAAGCGGGGGAAGCCUCGAGCCACAUUUAGGAUGGACAUUUGCAGUCUUCUGGAAAGCCCCAGCCAGGGGUCCUUGGCCCUUCCACCAAGAGUUCCAAGGGAGCCGAGACUGUUUAAAAGCCUCCUUAAGCAUCAAGGGGUCUCCUGUGUUGCAGGCACUGGGCUGCACAUCACCUGGGAGAGGUAGGGGUCAUCAUAUCUCCCAUUUUACAGAUGAGGGAAGUAAGGCUCAGAAGUCACCAGCUCAAGUGCCUAUGGCUGGUGUGUGGGAGAGGCCCGGCUGGAGCUAGGAUUCUCUGACUUAUGCCACUGGCUGGAGCUGGGGACAGGACAGAGACCAGCAAAGGACAGGUGAUGGCUGCUUCCAUCCGGCCCUCACCUUGGCCCGCCCUUCACACUGUCCUUGACAUUCAAUCAGGUGCCUGUGAUGUCUGGCCCAGAGGUUGGGGCUGGGCCUCCCCAGCUUCCCAGCGACAAAUGGUUC
Molecule: long non-coding RNA, 3252 nt
Filed under: Equus caballus (horse)
Lineage: Eukaryota; Metazoa; Chordata; Mammalia; Perissodactyla; Equidae
Description: lncRNA (ENSECAG00000051029.1)
Source: RNAcentral